CCUACGGGUGGCAGCAGUGGGGAAUAUUGGGCAAUGGAGGAAACUCUGACCCAGCAACGCCGCGUGUAUGAUGAAGGUCUUCGGAUUGUAAAGUUCUUUUCUAAGGGAAGAAGAAAGUGACGGUACCUGACCAAGAAGCACCGGCUAACUACGUGCCAGCAGCCGCGGUAAUACGUAGGGGGCAAGCGUUAUCCGGAUUUACUGGGUGUAAAGGGGGCGCAGACGGCAAUGCAAUCAAGGAGUGAAAGCCCGGGGCCCAACCCCGGGACUGCUUUUGGAACUGCAUGGCUGGAGUACAGGAGGGGCAGGCGGAAUUCCUAGGGUAGCGGUGAAAUGCGUAGAUAUUAGGAGGAACACCGGUGGCGAAGGCGGCCUGCUGGACUGUGACUGACGUUGAGGCCCGAAGGCGUGGGGAGCAAACAGGAUUAGAUACCCGAGUAGUC
Molecule: ribosomal RNA, 443 nt
Filed under: uncultured bacterium
Lineage: Bacteria
Description: partial 16S ribosomal RNA
Rfam family: Bacterial small subunit ribosomal RNA
Source: RNAcentral